Molecule: long non-coding RNA, 1085 nt
Organism: Heterocephalus glaber (naked mole-rat)
Lineage: Eukaryota; Metazoa; Chordata; Mammalia; Rodentia; Bathyergidae
Source: Ensembl
CAGGUUUUUAAAUGGUUAGCUGUGGGGAGCCUUGUGAAGAUGUACUCUGGAAUGAUCUUACACCUCAUGUGGCCAUUUAAUAAAACACAUCCUGCCCACAAUUGAGAAAGCAACAUGAAAUCUUUAUUGCAAGCUGAAUUCGGUGAUGCACUCUUGAGUCCUUACCAGCAGUGAAUGGCACUUCCUUUUGCUACCCAUUUUCUUCAAGGAUGGAUUUGGCAAUGCUCUGGAUUUUCACCAUUUUAGUUAGCAAUUCUAAUCAUCUGGAAAGAGAUCAAAUAACAGAGAAAUGAAUAAAUUUUCAAAAGAGGAAACUUAUAGUCAUGAAAUAAUGGAUAAUUCAUGAGUUAACAUCUUAUUUUUAAAUCUAGAGGAAGAUCAAUUUAAAUUCUCCCAAAUAAUAUUUAAGGUCUUAUGAACAACAACAUGUAGAAGAGCUGAGGUCAUGAUAGAUGAGGAGACUGUAUACAAAUGGGCUGGACCGGAAUGGAAAACAGCAGUACUUCACCUGUAUUAAAGGCAAGAUUGUCUCACACAUCAUUCGGCUCUCAGCAUGGAAAUAUCUGAGGAAGUACCAGGAGGAUGAUUUGCCUUCUCCAGGAAAGAAUGAAUAGAAGCUUAAGGGCCAGUGACAAGCUGCAUGCUAGGAGAACCCAAGGUGUGACAAACCCUGUCAACCACGUGACACACUACUUCAGGGCUGUCAGCUCACCUUCAAUGCACUAUUAAAGGAUUAAACACAUCAAAUCCUCAUGCAAAUUCCAGCUGUGUACCAAAACCCAGAAGAAAGACCCAGAAACAUUAUGGUAAAUGGUACUCAUUGAAGAAGUUAACUGCUACAAGUUUUCUUACCUUUUUUCUUCUUAAAUUCUUGUUUAGCCUCCUUGAAAAAUAAAUACAUUUGCAGAGUUGAGUUUUGAUAUAUUUCCCUAUGCAAUUUGUAGCCUACUUUGACAAGCUGUCUUUAGGUUGUGCUGGGAUGCUCUAAGAAAUUCAGCUGAAUGCAUUUAGAAUCAGCUUAGAAACCUGUUGAGCCUUGUCUGAUUGUACACCAGCAUGAUUUGUCUCAUCCUUGUAAAUCCAAG